UGGGGAAUUUUGGACAAUGGGCGCAAGCCUGAUCCAGCCAUGCCGCGUGAGUGAAGAAGGCCUUCGGGUUGUAAAGCUCUUUCGGUGGGGAAGAAAGUGCGCGAUUAAAUAGAUUGCGUAGAUGACGGUACCCGCAAAAGAAGCACCGGCUAACUACGUGCCAGCAGCCGCGGUAAUACGUAGGGUGCGAGCGUUAAUCGGAAUUACUGGGCGUAAAGCGUGCGCAGGCGGUUUUGUAAGUCAGAUGUGAAAUCCCUGGGCUCAACCUAGGAACUGCAUUUGAGACUGCAAGGCUAGAGGAAAGCAGAGGGGGGUAGAAUUCCACGUGUAGCAGUGAAAUGCGUAGAGAUGUGGAGGAAUACCGAUGGCGAAGGCAGCCCCCUGGGUUUUUACUGACGCUCAUGCACGAAAGCGUGGGGAGCAAACAGG
Molecule: ribosomal RNA, 429 nt
Filed under: uncultured bacterium
Lineage: Bacteria
Description: bacterial SSU rRNA
Rfam family: Bacterial small subunit ribosomal RNA
Source: RNAcentral